UGGGGGAUAUUGCACAAUGGGCGAAAGCCUGAUGCAGCGACGCCGCGUGGGGGAUGAAGGCUUUCGGGUUGUAAACCUCUUUCGCUAUCGAACAAGGCCCGCUUAGGGUGGGUUGAGGGUAGGUGGAGAAGAAGCGCCGGCUAACUACGUGCCAGCAGCCGCGGUAAUACGUAGGGCGCGAGCGUUGUCCGGUAUUAUUGGGCGUAAAGGGCUUGUAGGCGGCUUGUUGCGCCUGCUGUGAAAACGCGGGGCUUAACUUCGCGCGUGCAGUGGGUACGGGCAGGCUUGAGUGUGGUAGGGGUGACUGGAAUUCCAGGUGUAGCGGUGGAAUGCGCAGAUAUCUGGAGGAACACCGAUGGCGAAGGCAGGUCACUGGGCCAUUACUGACGCUGAGGAGCGAAAGCAUGGGUAGCGAACAGG
RNAcentral lists this ribosomal RNA (420 nucleotides) under bacterium. RNAcentral's name for it is "partial 16S ribosomal RNA". It matches the Rfam family "Bacterial small subunit ribosomal RNA", at positions 355 to 776 of the family's 1533-position model. RNAcentral also lists the same sequence under 1 other name. The record is from RNAcentral.